UUUAUCGGAGAGUUUGAUCCUGGCUCAGGACGAACGCUGGCGGCGUGCCUAAUACAUGCAAGUCGAGCGGACUGAUGGGAGCUUGCUCCCAUCAGUCAGCGGCGGACGGGUGAGUAACACGUGGGUAACCUGCCUGUAAGACUGGGAUAACUCCGGGAAACCGGGGCUAAUACCGGAUAACUCAUUUCCUCGCAUGAGGAAAUGUUGAAAGGUGGCUUUUAGCUAUCACUUACAGAUGGACCCG
Molecule: ribosomal RNA, 244 nt
Filed under: Rossellomorea aquimaris
Lineage: Bacteria; Bacillati; Bacillota; Bacilli; Caryophanales; Bacillaceae
Description: Bacillus aquimaris partial 16S ribosomal RNA
Rfam family: Bacterial small subunit ribosomal RNA
Source: RNAcentral